This 253-nucleotide ribosomal RNA is filed under the name uncultured bacterium. RNAcentral describes it as "partial 16S ribosomal RNA". It matches the Rfam family "Bacterial small subunit ribosomal RNA", at positions 524 to 776 of the family's 1533-position model. The record is from RNAcentral.
UACGUAGGUGACAAGCGUUGUCUGGAUUUACUGGGCGUAAAGAGCGCGCAGGCGGUCGAUCAAGUCGAGUGUGAAAGCCCCCGGCUCAACUGGGGAGGGUCAUUCGAUACUGAUCGACUCGAAGGCAGGAGAGGGUAGUGGAAUUCCCGGUGUAGUGGUGAAAUGCGUAGAUAUCGGGAGGAACACCAGUGGCGAAGGCGACUACCUGGCCUGUUCUUGACGCUGAGGCGCGAAAGCUAGGGGAGCAAACGGG